GGGGGCGAAAUGGUUUCGACGGGAUUCGGAUGGAUUCAAUAAGGCGAGUCGAGGUCUCCACCGGGGCUCGUAAAAAGGUGGAAACACUUAAACGCCAACGAUGAAUUGGCAUUCGCUGCCUAAUUAGGUAGCACACCUCUCAGCCGAUGGUUCGCUAAGCUGAAAAGGUGACGAUUAGCGAACUGGUUUCCGGAAGUGCCUGGGUACCGGAAAUGAGAACAACCUGGGAUAGUGGGUUAUCAGAUCCCGGCCUCAAGGAUCGAUAACCGGCGAUAGCUUUGAAUUGAGGAUACACUCGUAGGCUUAUUGGAUUCAUGAAUUUCGGACGCGGGUUCAACUCCCGCCGCCUCCACCA
RNAcentral lists this transfer-messenger RNA (355 nucleotides) under Candidatus Atribacteria bacterium. It matches the Rfam family "transfer-messenger RNA". From Rfam's summary of the family: Bacterial tmRNA, also known as 10Sa RNA or SsrA, is named for its dual tRNA and mRNA-like properties. Lineage: Bacteria; Pseudomonadati; Atribacterota; Atribacteria. The record is from RNAcentral. RNAcentral also lists the same sequence under 1 other name.